AAGUCGUAACAAGGUUUCCGUAGGUGAACCUGCGGAAGGAUCAUUACAGAGAGACGGCCCUCCGCGUCCGCGUGGCGGGGUCCGACCCUCCCAACCCCCUGUUUACAGACCUCAUUUUUAAACUCUUCGCGGGCGCUCGCGCCCUCCACGAAAAUUUAAACAAUCAAAACUUUCAACAACGGAUCUCUUGGUUCUGGCAUCGAUGAAGAACGCAGCGAAAUGCGAUAAAUAAUGUGAAUUGCAGAAUUCAGUGAAUCAUCGAGUUUUUGAACGCACAUUGCGCUCCAUGGCAUUCCGUGGAGCAUGCCUGUUCGAGCGUCACAAAAAGGGCAUCGAGCUUCGGCUUGGUCUUGGACGUCGCGGCGGUCCGCCGCGCGUCUCGAAUCGGUUGGCGGCGGAGCCGAGCCCCGAGCGCAUCAGAUCUUCUUCUUUCGCUCCGGUCGGGCAUUGGUAUUCGUUCGAGCCUCCAGAAACCCCACAUUUUCAGUGAUUGACCUCGGAUCAGGUAGGGAUACCCGCUGAACUUAA
Molecule: ribosomal RNA, 528 nt
Filed under: uncultured fungus
Lineage: Eukaryota; Fungi
Description: eukaryotic LSU rRNA
Rfam family: 5.8S ribosomal RNA (bases 168-321)
Source: RNAcentral